RNAcentral lists this ribosomal RNA (406 nucleotides) under uncultured bacterium. RNAcentral describes it as "partial 16S ribosomal RNA". It matches the Rfam family "Bacterial small subunit ribosomal RNA", at positions 30 to 526 of the family's 1533-position model. The record is from RNAcentral.
AUUGAACGCUGGCGGCAAGCCUAACACAUGCAAGUCGAACGAGUGGCGGACGGGUGAGUAAUGUCUGGGAAACUGCCUGAGGGAGGGGGAUAACUACGGGAAAAGGUAGCAAAUACCGCAUACCAUCGGAUGUGCCCAGAUGGGAUUAGCUAGUAGGUGGGGUAAAGGCUCACCUAGGCGACGAUCCCUAGCUGGUCUGAGAGGAUGACCAUCCACACUGGAACUGAGACACGGUCCAGACUCCUACUGGAGGCAGCAUUGGGGAAUAUUGCGCCAUGGGCGCAAGCCUGAUGCAGCCAUGCCGCGUGUAUGAAGAAGUCCUUCGGGUUGUAAAGUUCUUUCAGCGGGGAGGCGUUACCCGCAUAAGAAGCCCCGGCUAACUCCGUGCCAGCAGCCGCGGUAAUUC